Molecule: long non-coding RNA, 309 nt
Organism: Oncorhynchus keta (chum salmon)
Lineage: Eukaryota; Metazoa; Chordata; Actinopteri; Salmoniformes; Salmonidae
Exons: 3
Source: RefSeq, a predicted model, not a curated record
GGGGAGUGCUGCUCAGCGUGAGGUAAUACAGUAGGGGGAGUGCUGCUCAGCGUGAGGUAAUACAGUAGGGGGAGUGCUGCUCAGCGUGAGGUAAUACAGUAGGGGGAGUGCUGCUCAGCGUGAGGUAAUACAGUAGGGGGAGUGCUGCUCAGUGUGAGGUAAUACAGUAGGGGGAGUGCUGCUCAGCGUGAGGUAAUACAGUAGGGGGAGUGCUGGUCAGCGUGAGGUAAUACAGUAGGGGGAGUGCUGCUCAGCGUGAGGUAAUACAGUAGGGGGAGUGCUGCUCAGCGUGAGGUAAUACAGUAGGGG